This is a long non-coding RNA of Microtus oregoni (creeping vole), 1006 nucleotides long. RefSeq lists it as uncharacterized. Lineage: Eukaryota; Metazoa; Chordata; Mammalia; Rodentia; Cricetidae. The transcript has 4 exons. The record is from RefSeq and is a predicted model, not a curated record.
ACCAGUUUUCCUGAGGGUCCCAAACCAACCCCAGGUAAUGAGAAUCACAGGUCACCUUGAGCAACCGACAAGGCCAACUCACUGGUCAUUCCUACAUCUUCCAGACCCUGACAAGGGUGUAUGGCUGGAAGACCCCAUAUCCACGGUGGAUUUCUCAUAACCAACGCAGCCAGGAAGCUUGUUGUGUAGCUGAGGAUGACCUUGAACUUGUGACCCUCCUGUCUCCACCUCUGGAGUGCAAGGAUUAAAGGGACUCCUCACGACGAUGACAGCAUCCUCAAACCACGAGCCAACAGAAGCCCUUCCUUCCUUAAAUUACUUCUUUCCAGAGCCUCCCCCUCACCUGGGGAAGAAGACAUGUCAGCAUCCUCAAGACUCAGGGAGCCAACGGAGUGUCAAGCCCUUGCAACUCACACAUGCUCCUGAAUGGACGGGGUCCGCCCAAUGGCAAGUGAUCUCACCUGGACACAGAGUCAUCACUGUGUGCAGAGCCCCUGCUUGGGGCAGAGCAAGCCCUGCUGAGUCACCUGGUUCCUUCUGGGAAAAUUCCAGGGGUAAAAUUCCAGGGACCUAGUCCCUGACACCCCUCCCUUCCCUGGGCUCCACAGAGAGACCUUACAGCCCAGAGAAUUUCCUAAGGCAGACUGCAGGUUUUCUGGGCUGCCUUUUUUAGCAUGUCAUUGAUGGCCCCACAGCUGGGCCAUUGGCAUGGCGGGAGGUUUGUCAUUGGCUCCUGGGAAAGCUUAGUGAUAACACUCUAGAGUUCUAGUCCCUCGCCUGGCCUCGGCUUUGGCCUCUCCUGCUGCCCAAAGGGAGCCUCCAAGUUUGAGCCCCUGGUCCUGUUAUCUCUAGCUUCCCACUGAUGGGUUAGAGCGCUUCUCCUAGGGUCUCCCUUACAGAGGGGUUGAUGGUCCCCAGAACCAGGAGUGGCCUCAUUCUCCAGGGACUGUCUUCCACGGAGUGUUGCUCCAACAGGCUCUCCACCACAAUUAGCCCUUCCCUCAUC